RNAcentral lists this ribosomal RNA (33 nucleotides) under Paecilomyces niveus. RNAcentral describes it as "Byssochlamys nivea partial 18S ribosomal RNA". The record is from RNAcentral. Lineage: Eukaryota; Fungi; Ascomycota; Eurotiomycetes; Eurotiales; Thermoascaceae.
GGUUUCCCAGGUGCCCCUGCAAAAGGAUCAUUA